ACCCCCCCCACAGAGACCCCCCCCAUUGACCCCCCAGAGAGACCCCCCCAAUAGCCCCCCAAGAGGACCCCCCCCCCAAUAGACCCUAAAGAGACCCCCCCAAUGGACCCCAAAAGAGACCCCCCCUCAUUGGACCCCCCCAUAGAGACCCGCCCAUAGCUUGCCCAUAGCUGCCCCAUAGAUGACCCCAUAGAUACCCUUAAAGCACCCCAUAUCUGUCCCAUAGCUGCCCCCAUAGAUUACCCAUAGCUGCCCCAUUGGCUGCCCCAUAGCUGCCCCAUAAGAUACCCAUAGCUGCCCCAUUAUUGCCCCAUAGAUACCCCAUAGCUGCCCAAGAUACCCCAUAUCUGCCCCCAUAGCUGCCGCCAUAUCUGCCCCAUAUCUACCCAUAGCUGCCCCAUAGAUACCCCAUUAGCUGCCCCAUAUCUGCCCCAAGAAGAUAACCCCAUAUCUUGCCCCUAGAUAACCCCAUAGCUGCCCAUAGCUGGCCCCAUAGAUACCCCCAUAGCUGCCCCAUAGUGCCCCAUAUCUACCCCAUAGCUGCCCCAUAGAUACCCCAUAGCUGCCCCAUAGAUACCCUAUAUCUGCCCUAUAUCUGCCCCAUAGCUGCCCCACAUCCGCCCCAUAGCUCACCUUGCAGAAGCUGCAGUAGCUGCAGAUGGAUCCCGGCCUGUAACGUCCAUCACCACCAUCAUCAUCAUCAUCAUCAUCUUCAUCCUCCUCCGAGCUGCCCCCACCACCAUCAUCAUCAUCAUCAUCCUCCUCCUCGGAGCUCACGGGGUCGCCAUGGUGAUGGUUGCCAUGGUGACGAGCAUCCUGGUUGCCAUGGUGAUGGACAUCAUGGUCGUCAUGGUGAUGGACAUCAUGGUCGUCAUGGGGAUGAGCAUCCUCGUGGUCGUCAUGGUGAUGGACAUCCUGGUUGCCAUGGUGAUGAGCAUCCUCCUGGUUGCCAUGGUGACGCCCCUCCCCCCCGUCACCACGAGGCUCUUCCCUCCUCCCCUCCCCCUCCCCCCCCCCACCCUUUCAUCCACCCCUUCGAUUUUCGCAAUAAUCAUCACCCACUGUUGGCGCGUCUCCAACCCCGCUCCCCCUCCAACCAUAACAUGGGCGAGUCCGCGUAGCACCACCAUUAACCCCCCCCCCAUUUCCAAACCCGGGGGGGGCAGGAGGAGCCCCGAGGAACAGCCAAAGGAUCCGACCCCCCAUAGCCAGAACAGCAUCCAGACGCAAAUUGAGGAAACAGCUUGCUUUCUAGCACCCCCCCACUGUCUCAGGGGGCGGGUGGGGCUGCAUAUUACUAUCUACCCCCCACCGCCCCUAUAG
Molecule: long non-coding RNA, 1323 nt
Filed under: Coturnix japonica (Japanese quail)
Lineage: Eukaryota; Metazoa; Chordata; Aves; Galliformes; Phasianidae
Description: lncRNA (ENSCJPG00005002657.1)
Source: RNAcentral